RNAcentral lists this small nucleolar RNA (85 nucleotides) under Arabidopsis suecica. Lineage: Eukaryota; Viridiplantae; Streptophyta; Magnoliopsida; Brassicales; Brassicaceae. The record is from RNAcentral.
AGGAGGAAUGAGGAUAUAAUUCCAUACGUCUGCAAAUCUGAAACACAGUGUUGAUACAUUGACAUGCACUACCAUCUGACCUCUC